This 954-nucleotide ribosomal RNA is filed under the name uncultured bacterium. RNAcentral describes it as "bacterial SSU rRNA". It matches the Rfam family "Bacterial small subunit ribosomal RNA", at positions 8 to 955 of the family's 1533-position model. The record is from RNAcentral.
AGAGUUUGAUCCUGGCUCAGAUUGAACGCUGGCGGCAGGCUUAACACAUGCAAGUCGAGCGGAAACGAUACCAGCUUGCUGGUAGGCGUCGAGCGGCGGACGGGUGAGUAAUACUUAGGAAUCUACCUAGUAGUGUGGGAUAGCUCGGGGAAACUCGAAUUAAUACCGCAUACGACCUACGGGAGAAAGGGGGCAGUUUACUGCUCUCGCUAUUAGAUGAGCCUAAGUCGGAUUAGCUAGAUGGUGGGGUAAAGGCCUACCAUGGCGACGAUCUGUAGCUGGUCUGAGAGGAUGAUCAGCCACACCGGGACUGAGACACGGCCCGGACUCCUACGGGAGGCAGCAGUGGGGAAUAUUGGACAAUGGGGGAAACCCUGAUCCAGCCAUGCCGCGUGUGUGAAGAAGGCCUUUUGGUUGUAAAGCACUUUAAGCAGUGAAGAAGACUCCUCGGUUAAUACCCGUGGACGAUGACAUUAGCUGCAGAAUAAGCACCGGCUAACUCUGUGCCAACAGCCGCGGUAAUACAGAGGGUGCAAGCGUUAAUCGGAAUUACUGGGCGUAAAGCGAGCGUAGGUGGCUUGAUAAGUCAGAUGUGAAAUCCCCGGGCUUAACCUGGGAACUGCAUCUGAAACUGUUAGGCUAGAGUAGGUGAGAGGAAGGUAGAAUUCCAGGUGUAGCGGUGAAAUGCAUAGAGAUCUGGAGGAAUACCGAUGGCGAAGGCAGCCUUCUGGCAUCAUACUGACACUGAGGCUCGAAAGCGUGGGUAGCAAACAGGAUUAGAUACCCUGGUAGUCCACGCCGUAAACGAUGUCUACUAGUCGUUGGGUCCCUUGAGGACUUAGUGACGCAGCUAACGCAAUAAGUAGACCGCCUGGGGAGUACGGCCGCAAGGUUAAAACUCAAAUGAAUUGACGGGGCCCGCCACAAGCGGUGGAGCAUGUGGUUUAAUUCGAU